GCCAGGCAUGGUGGUGCAUGCCUGUAAUCCCAGCUACUCGGGAGGCUGAGGCAGGAGAAUCACUUGAACCCGGGUGGCCGAGGUUGCAGUGAGCUGAGAUUGUACCACUGCACUCCAGCCUGGGCAACAGAGUGAGACUCUGCCUCAA
Macaca fascicularis (crab-eating macaque) is the source of this 148-nucleotide unclassified non-coding RNA. It matches the Rfam family "Metazoan signal recognition particle RNA". From Rfam's summary of the family: The signal recognition particle (SRP) is a universally conserved ribonucleoprotein. It is involved in the co-translational targeting of proteins to membranes. The eukaryotic SRP consists of a 300-nucleotide 7S RNA and six proteins: SRPs 72, 68, 54, 19, 14, and 9. NCBI's taxonomy places the organism in Eukaryota, Metazoa, Chordata, Mammalia, Primates, Cercopithecidae. The record is from Ensembl.